UCCAUCCUUUCUAAGGUUGCCAAAAAUUAAGCCACCUUUGACCCUUGUGCUUCUUAAAGCUUCAUAAAUAGCCGCAGCAAAGAACUGCUCGGUCUCACUUGACCCAACUUAGAGACUCCUGCCUCUUGAACUGGUUGCUCUGAGCUUCAGCCAUGAAGGCUUUAUUCCUCCUUGUUGCCAUCUUCUUGUUUUCCCACCAGGCUGUCACAGUAGCUGGCCAAAGCGACCCUGCCAACAUUGCUUGUUUCCAAAGUGGUGGCUCCUGUAGACUAUCAUGUCCAUUUCCUGCUGAACAAUCAGGAGACUGUGCUGGUGGCCUGGUUUGCUGUAGAUGGUCUCCCCACGGUCGUCCCGCAUAAAAUAUCAGGAAAAGUCUGAAGAGUCUGAAGAGUUCUGAAGAAGAUAUUGAAACAUGGUGGCUGGAAGGUGUGCAAGCAAUCUUGCUGAGAUACAAAUAUUUUGAUUGAAUGUAUAAUCUGGAAAAAGAUAACAGUUUAACCUGUUGAUCUGUAUAUUAAAGAUCUAUAAUAGCAA
This is a long non-coding RNA of Pantherophis guttatus, 534 nucleotides long. RefSeq lists it as uncharacterized. The record is from RefSeq and is a predicted model, not a curated record. NCBI's taxonomy places the organism in Eukaryota, Metazoa, Chordata, Lepidosauria, Squamata, Colubridae.